RNAcentral lists this long non-coding RNA (1295 nucleotides) under Astyanax mexicanus (Mexican tetra). Its description in RNAcentral is "lncRNA (ENSAMXG00005023688.1)". Lineage: Eukaryota; Metazoa; Chordata; Actinopteri; Characiformes; Acestrorhamphidae. The record is from RNAcentral.
UCCUGCAGGGGCGGAUCUAGCCAUUUUGGGGCCCUAGGCAAAAUAUAAACAAGGGGCCCUCAUUCCUUAAACACACACAAAAACCAAAUAACUAGAGAUGGAACGAUCGAUCGGCAGUGUAUCGGUAUCGGCCGAUUUUCACCCAAAAUAUGGUAUCGGCGAUCGGCAGAUAUUCUUCUAAUUUUAGCCGAUCUGAUUCAGGAGUUUAGGGUUAAGCAGUUUGUCAGAGCUGUGUGUGGAUGAAGCUGCAGUUCCUCAUCCAACCACUAGUCGGAGCUGCAGCAGCAGCACAAGCCUCGCUGUCUUUACUCAGUCAGAGCUACAGCCCAGCCACGGGCUACAGAGCUCAGCUGAGUCAGUCUGGAGCGUUUUUUUUUUUUUUUUUUACAGUUUUCUUAAAUUCUUCUGUGUAGGAAAUAAAGGUUUUAACCCCACUAACAGGAUAAUACAGCUCUCUGCAGUUCAUCUUUCAGCCCAAGCAGCUAACAGCAGCAGUUUAAAGCAGCUGUCACGGAGUCACUGCUCGGAUUACAUUAUAAACAGGUCAGUUAGCGCGCUGCUCACCUCAGGAUGUUUAUAACUACGGAGUUUAGUGGACACACCACGGCUGCAAGGUUAGACUGUUGAAGGCUACUGAAGACUAUUAAAGGCUAUUGGAGGUUAUUGAAAGGGUUAUUGGGGGCAGAAAUCAGUAAAGGCUGGUUAGAUAAGUGAUUCACGCCCUCGUCCUUUGCUGCGGUGAAAUUGUGUUUAUUAACAUCAUUAAAACAGAUUUUGUCAGGUAUUGUCUUAUAAAUAUUCACACAACUUAUAUCUCUCCUAAAAAGCGUUUAUUGUGGUCAGUAACACUCGAGUUUAUUUACUAUCAGUGUAAAUGACCAGUGUUUGCAUUGGCGUGAAUGUAAUUAGGGGAAUCUGUACCAGGUUUGUCUGGCACCUGUGUGGCAUUAAUGUGGCAUUUGGCCCCGCCCAAUAUCGGCCGAUCGUGGUGAAAGGCGAUCGGAAUCGGCCCCAAAAACACUGAUCGGUCCAGGAGGUGCAAAAAAGGAGGUGAAUUUUGUCAGUGCAUCUGCGAUUCUUUUGCUCUCUGCCCGUUUCUUUCGUUUAGCAGAACCACUUUCAUAACUCCGUUUCAUUUUCACUGUGACAGCUCUCACUCCAGUCGCGUACAGUUCCCGCUGUUUUGGUUUGAAGUCACGUCGUGUCGCACAUUGCUACGUCAUCAUAUUACGGACUAGUUCAAUGAAAGCAACGGAGGGGGGUAUGUGUGUUUGGACAAUUAGUAUUUAGACAUU